This 253-nucleotide ribosomal RNA is filed under the name uncultured bacterium. Its description in RNAcentral is "partial 16S ribosomal RNA". It matches the Rfam family "Bacterial small subunit ribosomal RNA", at positions 524 to 776 of the family's 1533-position model. The record is from RNAcentral.
UCCAGAGGUCCCAAGCGUUGUUCGGAUUCACUGGGCGUAAAGGGUGCGUAGGUGGUGAGGUAAGUCGUAUGUGAAAUCUCCGGGCUCAACCCGGAAAUGGCAUUGGAAACUACCUUGCUUGAGGGUUUGAGGGGGGAUUGGAAUACUUGGUGUAGCAGUGAAAUGCGUAGAUAUCAAGUGGAACACCAGUGGCGAAGGCGAAUCCCUGGAAAAUACCUGACACUGAGGCACGAAAGCUAGGGGAGCAAACAGG